AACCUAGGAAAUACAGAAACGAUGGCCCCUUGUACUGUUCAUCUUCUUCGCCGAUUCAAACCUUAACUCGCCUAAAACGCAGGCGAGUUCACUCAAAUGGGUCCCUUCUCUCCACGUCACUUUAUUCCAAUGGAUUUCUGUCAGAGAAAAAGAAUAUGCCUUCCGAAUUUGCACGAUAAUUGUACUAUUGAGUGUUUUGCUGGAUGAAUUGGAGUCGUGGAUGGAUGGAAAUCAAUCCAUGCUUUCCAUUUGUCCCUAAAAUCGCUCACAAACAAGGAGAUUUUUCGAAUUUUUGGGCAGAAGCUUCGAGAUUUUUAAGGGUUAUAUAUAAGGUGAGUUUUCUUGUUUAAGGGGUAAGAAAAUAUCAAAGGAAAAAUUUUUAGAAAAAUUAGUGGAGUAAAAACUUUCUAGAGUUCUUGAGUUCCUUUUGUGAGAUUUUUCAGUUUUUUUGUCGUUUUCUUCUGAUUUCUUUUGUUCAGAUUCGAGAUUUUUGUUUUCUUCUGAUUUCUUUUGUUCGAGUUGGUUAAUACAAAAAAAACAAAAAAAAUUGAUACAGAUUCUGAGAGAACAUAUUUUUGAAGAAAGUUUCGGAUAAGAAAAAGAGAAAUUUCGGUUUAUAAUUCUGGGGAUAUCAAAGUUGAUUGAGCUUUAGAGGUGCUGAUUUUGUUGGUUUUGCCGUCAGAAGCUGCUGCUUUCUUCUUGGUUUGCUUGACCUUUAUUUGGUCUUAUUCCUUCUCUUGUUUUGUUUUCAAGGUAAACAUCUACCUCCUCAUGUUGUUUGUUUUAUUGAUGUAUUAAAGGUUGUGAUGAAAUGACAUUGUUUGUUUAUCCAGCAGGAUAUGUUUAAACUCGCUUGAAUGAUCAUUUGAACUUAACAAUGAAAGAUUAAAAAAUGUUCUUGGCUUGUUGUGUCAUUUCGUGCUUCUAAAAUUCACGGCUACACAUACACACACACUCAUUACCUUUAAUCAUUCAUAUGGUUUGCUAAUGUUAUUGUGGAGAUUUACUGAAAGUUGAGACGAAGCCUUAUAAGUUCAAAUUAGAUUUUAAAAUUAAUGAAUCUAGGUGAGGGGUUUAAAUUGUUUUACUUCUCUUAUCAAAAUAUAGCAGAAUGUGUAUUUGUAUAUGUGUGUUUUUAUUGAUGUGCGUGGUUUUAGGUUGGUUAAUCACUUCUUCUCCUUUUCUUUUAGUUCCUUUAUUAGCUAUCUCUCCCAUUCUUCAAAAGCGCUCGUGCAAUUGUUUUAUUGUAUUUCUUUAUUUCUGUCCCAGCUCAUGAUGCAGUUCAAUCUGGUCUUAUAUGAUAGUUCUUCGUUUAUGGAAGUUCCUUUCCUUAUUUAUUUACUAGUAAAGUUAGAAUUUUGAUUACACUAUUAUCUAUUCCAUCUGCAAGGGGACUUUUCUCUUCUUUGUUGUUUACUGCCCAAAUUCUCCCUGUUUCAUAGACGGGAUCUGGAAUAGUGAGUGGAGUUGGAGUCUUUAUGCUAAAAGGUGAUAUCGGUGGAGGAGUAGUUAUGGAAUGAUACAUAUCUUUUCCAAAAGCCACUUCCUCUAGAUGCCACUUUAUGUGAAGAUAUAUAUAUAUUUGUGAGAAGAGCUAGCUGCUUACUUGCCUACUUUGAGAUUAUUUGGAGGAAAUGCAAAGAUUUUAUAUAGAGAGCUAAGGCUUUAUCUGUGGUGUCUCAUGAAAUUUCUGUGCAACUGAUUAGAGAUUCAUGCUUAUUUCUUGUAGGUUGUGUAUGUACGUGUAUUGUUUGUGUGUAUUUCUGAUGUUUGUUUAUUCACUGUCAAUCAUGUAAAAUUUAAUGACUAAUGUUUAGUCCUUAAUUAGCAGAAUGAAUGUGUGAAGGUUAGUCACAUAUGAAUGUAAAGACUGAUCUCUUUUUAUUUAUUAUUCUUUGUCGUUAUGUGUAUAUGUGUGUCAGCGUGUUAGAGAUUCCAAUGUAGUGAGGAC
Molecule: long non-coding RNA, 1951 nt
Filed under: Nicotiana tabacum (common tobacco)
Lineage: Eukaryota; Viridiplantae; Streptophyta; Magnoliopsida; Solanales; Solanaceae
Description: long non-coding RNA (NTAB_LNC000620)
Source: RNAcentral